This 2901-nucleotide ribosomal RNA is filed under the name Enterobacter kobei. RNAcentral describes it as "23S ribosomal RNA". It matches the Rfam family "Bacterial large subunit ribosomal RNA". Lineage: Bacteria; Pseudomonadati; Pseudomonadota; Gammaproteobacteria; Enterobacterales; Enterobacteriaceae. The record is from RNAcentral.
UUAAGCGACUAAGCGUACACGGUGGAUGCCCUGGCAGUCAGAGGCGAUGAAGGACGUGCUAAUCUGCGAAAAGCGCCGGCGAGGUGAUAUGAACCUUUGACCCGGCGAUGUCCGAAUGGGGAAACCCAGUGUGUUCCGACACACUAUCGUUAACUGAAUACAUAGGUUAACGAGGCGAACCGGGGGAACUGAAACAUCUAAGUACCCCGAGGAAAAGAAAUCAACCGAGAUUCCCCCAGUAGCGGCGAGCGAACGGGGAGCAGCCCGGAGUCUGAAUCAGCUUGUGUGUUAGUGGAACGGUCUGGAAAGUCCGACGGUACAGGGUGAUAGUCCCGUACACGAAAAUGCACAGGUUGUGAACUCGAAGAGUAGGGCGGGACACGUGGUAUCCUGUCUGAAUAUGGGGGGACCAUCCUCCAAGGCUAAAUACUCCUGACUGACCGAUAGUGAACCAGUACCGUGAGGGAAAGGCGAAAAGAACCCCGGCGAGGGGAGUGAAAAAGAACCUGAAACCGUGUACGUACAAGCAGUGGGAGCCUACUUGUUAGGUGACUGCGUACCUUUUGUAUAAUGGGUCAGCGACUUAUAUUCUGUAGCAAGGUUAACCGUAUAGGGGAGCCGAAGGGAAACCGAGUCUUAACUGGGCGUUAAGUUGCAGGGUAUAGACCCGAAACCCGGUGAUCUAGCCAUGGGCAGGUUGAAGGUUGGGUAACACUAACUGGAGGACCGAACCGACUAAUGUUGAAAAAUUAGCGGAUGACCUGUGGCUGGGGGUGAAAGGCCAAUCAAACCGGGAGAUAGCUGGUUCUCCCCGAAAGCUAUUUAGGUAGCGCCUCGUGAACUCAUCUUCGGGGGUAGAGCACUGUUUCGGCUAGGGGGCCAUCCCGGCUUACCAACCCGAUGCAAACUACGAAUACCGAAGAAUGUUAUCACGGGAGACACACGGCGGGUGCUAACGUCCGUCGUGAAGAGGGAAACAACCCAGACCGCCAGCUAAGGUCCCAAAGUCAUGGUUAAGUGGGAAACGAUGUGGGAAGGCACAGACAGCCAGGAUGUUGGCUUAGAAGCAGCCAUCAUUUAAAGAAAGCGUAAUAGCUCACUGGUCGAGUCGGCCUGCGCGGAAGAUGUAACGGGGCUAAACCAUGCACCGAAGCUGCGGCAGCGACACUAUGUGUUGUUGGGUAGGGGAGCGUUCUGUAAGCCGUUGAAGGUGGCCUGUGAGGGUUGCUGGAGGUAUCAGAAGUGCGAAUGCUGACAUAAGUAACGAUAAAGCGGGUGAAAAGCCCGCUCGCCGGAAGACCAAGGGUUCCUGUCCAACGUUAAUCGGGGCAGGGUGAGUCGACCCCUAAGGCGAGGCCGAAAGGCGUAGUCGAUGGGAAACAGGUUAAUAUUCCUGUACUUGGUGUUACUGCGAAGGGGGGACGGAGAAGGCUAUGUUAGCCGGGCGACGGUUGUCCCGGUUUAAGCAUGUAGGCGGAGGUUCCAGGUAAAUCCGGUACCUUUUAACGCUGAGGUGUGAUGACGAGGCACUACGGUGCUGAAGUAACAAAUGCCCUGCUUCCAGGAAAAGCCUCUAAGCAUCAGGUAACAUCAAAUCGUACCCCAAACCGACACAGGUGGUCAGGUAGAGAAUACCAAGGCGCUUGAGAGAACUCGGGUGAAGGAACUAGGCAAAAUGGUGCCGUAACUUCGGGAGAAGGCACGCUGAUAUGUAGGUGAAGCCCCUGCGGGUGGAGCUGAAAUCAGUCGAAGAUACCAGCUGGCUGCAACUGUUUAUUAAAAACACAGCACUGUGCAAACACGAAAGUGGACGUAUACGGUGUGACGCCUGCCCGGUGCCGGAAGGUUAAUUGAUGGGGUUAGCGGUAACGCGAAGCUCUUGAUCGAAGCCCCGGUAAACGGCGGCCGUAACUAUAACGGUCCUAAGGUAGCGAAAUUCCUUGUCGGGUAAGUUCCGACCUGCACGAAUGGCGUAAUGAUGGCCAGGCUGUCUCCACCCGAGACUCAGUGAAAUUGAACUCGCUGUGAAGAUGCAGUGUACCCGCGGCAAGACGGAAAGACCCCGUGAACCUUUACUAUAGCUUGACACUGAACACUGGUCCUUGAUGUGUAGGAUAGGUGGGAGGCUUUGAAGCGUGGACGCCAGUCUGCGUGGAGCCGACCUUGAAAUACCACCCUUUAAUGGCUGGUGUUCUAACGUAGACCCGUAAUCCGGGUUGCGGACAGUGUCUGGUGGGUAGUUUGACUGGGGCGGUCUCCUCCCAAAGAGUAACGGAGGAGCACGAAGGUUAGCUAAUCCUGGUCGGACAUCAGGAGGUUAGUGCAAUGGCAUAAGCUAGCUUGACUGCGAGAGUGACGGCUCGAGCAGGUGCGAAAGCAGGUCAUAGUGAUCCGGUGGUUCUGAAUGGAAGGGCCAUCGCUCAACGGAUAAAAGGUACUCCGGGGAUAACAGGCUGAUACCGCCCAAGAGUUCAUAUCGACGGCGGUGUUUGGCACCUCGAUGUCGGCUCAUCACAUCCUGGGGCUGAAGUAGGUCCCAAGGGUAUGGCUGUUCGCCAUUUAAAGUGGUACGCGAGCUGGGUUUAGAACGUCGUGAGACAGUUCGGUCCCUAUCUGCCGUGGGCGCUGGAGAAUUGAGGGGGGCUGCUCCUAGUACGAGAGGACCGGAGUGGACGCAUCACUGGUGUUCGGGUUGUCAUGCCAAUGGCACUGCCCGGUAGCUAAAUGCGGAAGAGAUAAGUGCUGAAAGCAUCUAAGCACGAAACUUGCCCCGAGAUGAGUUCUCCCUGAGACUAUAAGUCUCCUGAAGGAACGUUGAAGACGACGACGUUGAUAGGUCGGGUGUGUAAGCGCAGCGAUGCGUUGAGCUAACCGAUACUAAUGAACCGUGAGGCUUAACCU